Bombina bombina (fire-bellied toad) is the source of this 111-nucleotide small nuclear RNA. RefSeq annotates it as U5 spliceosomal RNA. The record is from RefSeq and is a predicted model, not a curated record. Lineage: Eukaryota; Metazoa; Chordata; Amphibia; Anura; Bombinatoridae. The transcript has a single exon.
AUUCUUGGUUUCUCUUCAGAUCGAAUAAUGCUUCACCUUUUGCUAAGAGUUUUCGUGAAGUGGACUUUUCAUGAGUUUUAAUAAAUUUUUGAGGCUCUGCCCAUGCAGGGC